GGAUUGUAGCUCAGCGGUAGAGCAUUCGCUUAGCAAGUGUGAGGCCCUGGGUUCGAUCCUAAGUACCA
Molecule: transfer RNA, 68 nt
Filed under: Marmota monax (woodchuck)
Lineage: Eukaryota; Metazoa; Chordata; Mammalia; Rodentia; Sciuridae
Description: tRNA.Ala
Source: RNAcentral